Non-coding RNA from Symphalangus syndactylus (siamang), 2138 nucleotides. The record is from the annotation of a RefSeq genome assembly. NCBI's taxonomy places the organism in Eukaryota, Metazoa, Chordata, Mammalia, Primates, Hylobatidae.
AAGAGAGGAGGGCUGAAGGGGAUGCCUGGCUUCCUGCUGGCAUCAGCGGGGUGGAUGGAAUUCCGAAGAAGGGAGCUUGGGAACUGCAGAAUGCUUACUACAGAGACACCAGCCCCAAGCUAGGAGAUCCUGCCAUGGGCUUCAGGCUCCUCUGCUGUGUGGCCUUUUGUCUCCUGGGAGCAGGCCCAGUGGAUUCUGGAGUCACACAAACACCAAAGCACCUGAUCACAGCAAUUGGAAAACGAGUGACGCUGAGAUGCUCCCCUAGGUCUGGAGACCUCUCUGUGUACUGGUACCAACAGAGCCUGGACCAGGGCCUCCAGUUCCUCAUUCAGUAUUAUAAUGGGGAAGAGAGAGAAAGAGGAAACAUUCUUGAACGAUUCUCAGCACAACAGUUCCCUGACUUGCACUCUGAACUAAACCUGAGCUCUCUGGAGCUGGGGGAUUCGGCUUUGUAUUUCUGUGCCAGCAGCAUAGCACAGCCCUGCUUGAGCAUCAGCCUUCUGUGCAAUAACAUUCCUGCCCCACUCAGGAAGUGACGGUGAGGGGAGGGCUGCCAGCCAGAGGGGCUCAGGCCCUGGAGAGUGGACAGGCCUUUCCCAGGCACUCUCUGGUGCUUCUGUAUGUGAUCUGAUUUAAUGCUCACUGAAACUGUGUAAGCGAAGUAUUAUUUUACCUGUUCAUAUAUCUGAGGGACAGCAGAUGUCCUGGGGCUCAUAUUUAAUAGCUAGCUGAAGUCUGUUUUUUCAACACCUCUGCACUGUCCCUCCUCACUCCGGAGAUCUGUCCUUUUACCUGGUGUCCCCUUUUCAUGUCCCCAAGAGCAGGAUGCUAAGGUCAUGCAUGAAACUGUGAUCAUGAUAACUUCUUCCCUGACAAGUCCAGUGGACACAUGAUUUCCGGGCAAAACAUAUCCAUUUACUCUUUAUUGUGAUUAAAGAAAAAAGAAGAAAGAAAAGAAAGGUGCGGUUUUCUGCUCUGUAGCCCUCCUAUGGGCAAGGCCAGGUCAUCUCUUUUACGGAGACUGUAUGAGGAGGGAGCUUUCCUAGGUUGACAACAAACAGGCAGGAAAUGUUUUUUAUGGGGCAUGUGGUCUUCCUGUGCCGGAUGCAAUCUGCCAUCAGGGAAAGGACAUGAAAAAUUGUUAUUCAUUAGUUAAUAUUUUUUAUUCUUUUUUUUUUUUGAGGCGGAGUUUCACUCUUGUUGUCCAGGCUGGAGUAUAGUGGUGCUAUCUCGGCUAACUGCAACCUCCGUCCGCCUCCUGAGUUCAAGCGAUUCUCCUGCCUUAGCCUCCCAGGCGGCCUCCACCACACCUGGCCAGUUUUGUGUUUUUAGUAGAGAUGGGGUUUCUCCAUGUUGGCCAAGCUGGUCUCAAACUCCCAAUCUCAGGUGAUCCGCCUGCCUUGGCCUCCCAAUGUGCUGGGACUACAGGCGUGAGCCAUCGGGCCAGGCCCAUUUUUUAUUCUUUACCAAUAAAUCUUUUCAGGCAUCCUACUUUGUACAAGGGAUUAUAUCACAUGAAAUAUACAGUGAAAAAAAGAUAAUUGGAAAAAGGGGAAACUUUUAAAAAAUGAAGAAAAGGGUGUUUCUUGCAUUUGAGGGUUUCAAGGUCUGCAAUUCUUGGUAUAUUCUAAUUAGUUUACUUAGUUUCUGAUUUAUACGAAUUUACUCUUUCUUCUGUUUCUCUCUUUGGCUACCUACACCCUUUUGCCAGAUUUUUAAAAGUUUUCAGUAACAAUAUUUAACACGAGAUCUACCCUUUUAAUAGACUUAUAAGUGCACAAUACGGUUUUAUAAUCAUGAUAUAGUCAUGAUGUUGUUCAGCAGAUCUCUAGAUCUUAUUCAUCUUGCAUGAUUGAAAUUUUAUACCCAUUGGCAGCGACUCCCCAUUUACCCCAUUCCCCAGACCCUGGCCACUACCAUUCUAGUCUUUGCUUCCAUGAGUUGGACUAUUUUAGAUAACUCAUGUAAAUGACAUUAUGCAGAUUUUUGUCUUUUUGUGAUUCGCUUAUCUCAUUUAGCCUAAUGUCCUACCAAGUAUAGUGGUGAGUUUCACUUCUAUCUUCCAAAGUUCACACAAAUAGCUCGUUGACCAGCUGUAACCCAGAAUCAUAAAGAUAAAGGCAUUCUUAGACAUA